This 228-nucleotide ribosomal RNA is filed under the name uncultured bacterium. RNAcentral describes it as "partial 16S ribosomal RNA". It matches the Rfam family "Bacterial small subunit ribosomal RNA", at positions 524 to 751 of the family's 1533-position model. The record is from RNAcentral.
UACGGAGGGUGCGAGCGUUAAUCGGAGUUACUGGGCGUAAAGGGCGCGUAGGCGGUUAUAUAAGUGAGAUGUGAAAUCCCUGGGCUUAACCUAGGAACUGCAUCUCAUACUGUAUGACUGGAGUAUUGUAGAGGGUAGUGGAAUUUCCGGUGUAGCGGUGAAAUGCGUAGAGAUCGGAAGGAACACCAGUGGCGAAGGCGGCUACCUGGACAAAUACUGACGCUGAGG